CAGCAGCACCUCUGCCAGGCUCUCUCCUUUGUCCUCACAGUGCAGAUCAACUCGUCAUCACUCUCCUCCCUGCCAAGACUCCAUGGUCCUUGAAGUCUCUUCUUCCUGCCAGUUCCUCUGCUUUAGCAUCCUCAGGGCCUGUGCCGAUAAGCGUCGCUCCUACCCCUCACCAAGGAAGCCUCUCUCUACAGCACAUGGAGACCAUCACCGAAAACCACACUGAUCACGAUACAGAGGUCAAUGGAUGGAGGGAAGCCAGGCCCAGAAGAUACAUAUAACUCACAGCUAUGUCUCGGGGAACAUCGCAGAGGACCAGAAGUCUGCUGGGAAACAGGCCCUACUAGAAAUGGGUGCAUACACAAGAUCAGGACGAUGGCUGUAUCGCUGGAAACGUUCACGUGAAAGGGGGAGUUUUUUUGCAGGGUCCCAGCCCACAGAAAGAACUGCAGGCAAAUAAUGGCUGCUGGGAGUGAGAGUAUUAGCCUGUCUCAAGAGCAAGCCUCGAAACCACAUACACGCCACCAACAUAAACAGACUCGGCAGGUUAUGUUCACAUACACCUGUGCAUACACAUACAAACAUACACACACACACACACACACACACACACACACACACACACACACGUAUAUGUAUGUAACAAUGAUAAUAAAAGAAAAAGGCUCUCAACUUGAGAGUGGGAAGUGUGGGAGGGUUUCUAGAGAGCCUGGGAGGGGCUGGAGGGAGGAAAGUUAUGAAAUGCUAUUACAAUUAAAAACAUGUUUUAAAAAUUAAAAGGCAAAAAAUAAACUAGCUAUACAAACCAAGCAUUUAAUGAAGACAAGUCAUAAAGACAUUUAUUUUUAAAACAAUCCUUUAGGGCUGGGAAGAUGGCCCAGUGGUUAAGAGCUCUUGUGCUCAGGCAUUAGACGCUGAGUUCAAAUACCCAGCACCCACAGAAAAGGCCGGAUGUGACUAUAGGUGUAACCCAGCAUUGUGGAGAGGGAGACAGGAGAAUCACUGUGUUCAGUGAGAGACUCAGCCACCGAGGUUGGGGGUCAUAGAGCAGACCUCUGGCAUCCACCUCCAGCCUCUGUGCUCAGGUGAGUGGAUGAGCAUGCACGCAUGCACAGACAUACACACAAGUGCACAAGCACAUUCAUGCACACACACACACACACACACACACACACACAAGUGCGCACACACGCAGAACCCAGUAGAUGCUUUUCACAGUGCACUUCCAAACAAAAGAGAAAUGAAUAGAAUCUUAUGAGACCCUAUUAUCUGGAAUUUGGUGCCACCCAUAUCCAAGCUCUGUCCUAACCCACCAACCCAGAUCUAGCUUUAGUCUUUGUGCUGGGUUUACGUGAGCCAAAACUUUUCAAAAAGGUAUCUGAAAUAGAAGGGUUUAUUGAGCCAUUUUAGAUGUUAUCCAGAAAAAAAAAAAUGACCCUAGGACAGGUCCUAGCAGCAGCGGGGAAGGUGUCUGCUGAGCCCAGAGCGAAGGGGAUUGUUAUAGAGAAGUUGGAGGCAGGGAAGUGUUGGCAACAAUGAACCUGUGGUGCUAUAGGUAGAUAAAACAGACAGGGGAAACUGGGUGAGCGGCAGUCCUGGGGGAGUGGAGACUGCUGCCCCUGACCUGCCUGGUAGGGCUGCCUGGAAGCUCAGACGUGAAUUUUCAGGGCAGGAGGCUCUGGAGGUCAGCUGUGACAGGGUCUAAGCCAAGGUCACUGUACCUUCAGGGAUGUGAGACAAUCUCUUUGCAUUUUGUUUGAUUAAUUUCCCACCCCCUUUCCCUUUCAUGUAAUUAGAUGUAGAAUAUUCCAGAAUUUUCCUUCUGACUUAUCCUUUCUUCCUUCAUUCUGCUCAUUAAAACCUCCGACCAGGUCGCAAGAUGGCUCAGUGGGUCAAGGCCCUUGCCACACAAGCCCGAUGACCGAAGUCCUGUUCCUGGAGAUCACACAAAGAUGGUGGAAGAAAUGAAGUGGUCAUUCUUUCUCUUAAUGGCGGAAACAUCUUAGAACAACACCAAAGCCAGGCAGCCAUGUGACUCCCAAGCCUCACAACCCAGCUGAGCUGCCUUCAUAGCUGUUCACACACAAGCUAAAGCGACUUUUCCUACACUCCAUUAGGAAGCCCAGGGAGCACGUUUCUCUCUGCAGCCCCGAGAGCUUCACACAGGGCCAGUUCUGCACCCUCAAGUCCGCACUUGGCCACCAGGUCCUUCCACCCGGGGCUCACCUCCCUCAGUACCCACGCUCCCUCCUAUUCUCAAACAUCUCAGGCAACUGUCGCUCUGCCCACAAGCUGGGCACAGCCUGCCGGUCCUCCCAUGGUUUCUGCCACAAUAUCUGCCUCACAAGAAUUUGACUCUGAGACCCUGAGAGCCAGGAGUGUGUGUGACUCAUCUUUUAACAACGUGGAAUGCAUUCCUGGCCAGGGAUGGUGAACAGAAUCUCAAGCAAGCACGGCAGUGACAUUUCUUCUUGCUGCCACUAGAUGGCAGCAGGCACCCCGUUGGCAACCACUAGGAAAGACCUUUUCUCUCUGGCCCCUGGGACCCUGGAUGGAAUCCAUACACUAAAAUAAGCAUUCAGAACGCCCAGACCUGGUUCUUAUUAGUGCUGCCAGGAAGAUGAGGCGGCGAAGAGAACUAAGUCAGACCACCGCUGAGCCUGAAAGUCCGGAUGUGGACACAGACGCCCUGGGUCCUGCCGUGCUUGCGGACCCUUAGCUCUGGGACUUUGAAUAAAGUUCCUGACCUUUC
Myodes glareolus (Bank vole) is the source of this 2749-nucleotide long non-coding RNA. RefSeq lists it as uncharacterized. Lineage: Eukaryota; Metazoa; Chordata; Mammalia; Rodentia; Cricetidae. The record is from RefSeq and is a predicted model, not a curated record.